CAAUGUGAUUGGGUAUUCUGUUUCUGGUGCUAUUACAUUCAUCUGUUGAAUCGUGCGACGAAAGCCUCUUCAUAAGCUUCUUAAAACGAGGUCUCAAUCUGAAAACCAAAUUCUAUAUGCUCUCUCACAAUGGCAAUGUAAAACCUGAUAAAGAG
Morus notabilis is the source of this 155-nucleotide long non-coding RNA. RefSeq lists it as uncharacterized. NCBI's taxonomy places the organism in Eukaryota, Viridiplantae, Streptophyta, Magnoliopsida, Rosales, Moraceae. The transcript has 3 exons. The record is from RefSeq and is a predicted model, not a curated record.